GCAAAACUUUCUCCACUCAAUGAGAUCCCUAAGAUUUGCUAUCUUUCUGAUUUUCUUCUUCUGCUUUGCUCUGGUUGGGCAUGGACGUGCAAAAUCCAAUGAACUAGUGGUGGGUUCCAUUAAAUCCUUCCAUUUGGGGCAGACACAGGGAAGAUCCAAGUGUCAAGAUGUUAGUGAUGAAUGCAAAAUGGGGGGAGGCAGAAAAGAGAGUGUUUUUGAACAUGAAGACUAUGUCUACACUCAAUCUAUUCCUUAGUUUAUGCAAACUCCAUGCAAUCUAAAUUUCUUACUUCAGUGGCAGAGAUAAUAAGAGAAUCAUAACCUGUGUCCAUGCCUCAUUUGUCAAGUAGCAGCAGCAAUUCACAAGCAGUUUAAAGCUUCAAACUUCUUUCCUUUGUGGAAACUGCAACUCCUCUGAAGAUGACGUUUCUGGCUGCAUGGUAAAUAGUGCCUUUGUAUUUGCAAAAUAAAGGGAAGGUAUUGGUGUGAAAAUGGUAAAUGUUAAGUGCGGAGGAGGAUGGGAUAAAAUAAAAUGUUCCAAACAUGAAGGCUGUCUUCAGCCAACAACUCUUUCGAUUGUGCAAAGUUCCAUAACUCAUGCUGUCUAAAAUAUCUACUCAAAUGAGAAUAAUUACAGUGUAAACGAAA
Long non-coding RNA from Cucurbita maxima (winter squash), 648 nucleotides. RefSeq lists it as uncharacterized. Lineage: Eukaryota; Viridiplantae; Streptophyta; Magnoliopsida; Cucurbitales; Cucurbitaceae. The transcript is spliced from 2 exons. The record is from RefSeq and is a predicted model, not a curated record.